AAUUGGCAGAGGGAAUGAUGAGACUUGCCAGCUCCCAGGGAGAAGAUUACCAGUCCUCCAAGUCUACACUCCCCCAACUUGGAGAGAAGAAAAAAGAACCUAUUGCCAGGACUUUUUGGAAAAGAAUCUCUUAGACUAAAUGAGAGAGGAGAAGAUGGCUGCUGGGGUGGGAGUGAGCGAGAAAGGGAACAGCAUGGGAGCCACAGUGAGUGAUAGUUUACAGCUGCAUAAGUUUUACUCCAGAAUUCACAUCCAACUAUCUGCAAUCAACACCACUACAGCCCAGCCCUGACCUCUGCCAGCUUGGAAGACACUCUGCAACCAGGGAUGGAAAAGAAUCAGCUGAAAAGGAACGGGCCAGUUCUGAGGACGUUCCACAGAUGGGGAAGGCAUUCAAAUAAGGCCACGUGGACAAGACUUCAGAUAAAAUAGAAAGAUAUAUACAAAAUCAAAAUAUGAACAUCAAGCCGCUUCUGACCCUUGGAUAAAAUGAUCAUGAAUUCAUAUGGGAUAUCAGCAUGAUGGCUUUAUUCAGUGACUAAGCAUUUGAACUCAAUUUUGCUAUCUUAAUUGCAACUGUGUAAUUGAAAUUAAAUGACAACACAGAAGAUCUCAGCUAUAUGAUAAAUGACCAUUCUACUUCUACACACUAAUUACUUCUUUCUUCCUUCAUUCUACUUUUUCUACAAUUUUAAACUGUUCCUGGAAUGUUAUGGUCAAGUCAGUAUUUUUGGUUCAAAAUUACCUUUUUUUUUCCCAUCUGGAAUCUGUGAUAGAGUUUAUUUUCCUUUAUUGUGAGGUCUAAAAUACCUCUUCCUUUGAUGAAGUUGCCUCUUACUU
Mauremys mutica (yellowpond turtle) is the source of this 840-nucleotide long non-coding RNA. RefSeq lists it as uncharacterized. NCBI's taxonomy places the organism in Eukaryota, Metazoa, Chordata, Testudines, Geoemydidae. The transcript has 3 exons. The record is from RefSeq and is a predicted model, not a curated record.